This 209-nucleotide ribosomal RNA is filed under the name uncultured Holophagae bacterium. Its description in RNAcentral is "partial 16S ribosomal RNA". It matches the Rfam family "Bacterial small subunit ribosomal RNA", at positions 1174 to 1382 of the family's 1533-position model. The record is from RNAcentral. Lineage: Bacteria; Pseudomonadati; Acidobacteriota; Holophagae.
UGGGGAUGACGUCAAGUCAGCAUGGCCUUAUGUCCAGGGCUACACACGUGCUACAAUGGUUGGUACAAAGGGUUAGCCAAGCCGUGAGGCGGAGCCAAUCUCAAAAAGCCAACCUCAGUUCGGAUUGCAGUCUGCAACUCGACUGCAUGAAGUUGGAAUCGCUAGUAAUCGCUGAUCAGCAGGCAGCGGUGAAUACGUUCCCGGGCCUU